UAGGGAAUCUUCCACAAUGGACGAAAGUCUGAUGGAGCAACGCCGCGUGGGUGAAGAAGGUUUUCGGAUCGUAAAGCUCUGUUGUUGGUGAAGAAGGAUAGAGGCAGUAACUGGUCUUUAUUUGACGGUAAUCAACCAGAAAGUCACGGCUAACUACGUGCCAG
This 164-nucleotide ribosomal RNA is filed under the name uncultured bacterium. RNAcentral describes it as "partial 16S rRNA". It matches the Rfam family "Bacterial small subunit ribosomal RNA", at positions 355 to 511 of the family's 1533-position model. The record is from RNAcentral.